UUCGGAUUGGAGUCUGCAACUCGACUCCAUGAAGCUGGAAUUGCUAGUAAUCGCAGGUCAGCUAAACUGCGGUGAAUACGUUCUCAAGUCUUGUACUCAGAAUUAAAUGCGCU
Molecule: non-coding RNA, 113 nt
Organism: Candidatus Nomurabacteria bacterium
Lineage: Bacteria; Candidatus Nomuraibacteriota
Source: Rfam